GGCUGGUCCGAUGGCAGUGGGUUAUCAGAACUUAACGUUAGUGUCACUAAACUUGGUAUACAACCACCCCCAUUGCUAAAUUUGACUGGCUUAAA
Unclassified non-coding RNA from Cavia porcellus (domestic guinea pig), 95 nucleotides. It matches the Rfam family "Y RNA". Rfam says of the family: Y RNAs are components of the Ro ribonucleoprotein particle (Ro RNP), in association with Ro60 and La proteins. The Y RNAs and Ro60 and La proteins are well conserved, but the function of the Ro RNP is not known. Lineage: Eukaryota; Metazoa; Chordata; Mammalia; Rodentia; Caviidae. The record is from Ensembl.